GGGGUGGUAGUUCAGCUCGGUUAGAACGCUGGCCUGUCAAGCCAGAGGUCACGGGUUCGAGUCCCGUCCACCCCGCCA
This 78-nucleotide transfer RNA is filed under the name Nitrospirae bacterium CG2_30_41_42. Its description in RNAcentral is "tRNA-Asp". It matches the Rfam family "tRNA". Rfam says of the family: Transfer RNA (tRNA) molecules are approximately 80 nucleotides in length. RNAcentral also lists the same sequence under 6 other names. The record is from RNAcentral. Lineage: Bacteria; Pseudomonadati; Nitrospirota.